AUAAAUACCUGGCAGGGGAGAUACUGUGAUCAUAAAGGUGGUUUUCACAGAGCAUGGCCUAUUCAUUGUACUCUAAAUGUUUUGACCCCUGCAUUUCCCCCAAAUAUGGGAAACUUGACUGUAUAAUUUGUGGUAAUGGGGAGAUACAUAACUGCUAAGCCACC
Small nuclear RNA from Microtus ochrogaster (prairie vole), 164 nucleotides. Its record names the gene U1. It matches the Rfam family "U1 spliceosomal RNA". From Rfam's summary of the family: U1 is a small nuclear RNA (snRNA) component of the spliceosome (involved in pre-mRNA splicing). Its 5' end forms complementary base pairs with the 5' splice junction, thus defining the 5' donor site of an intron. The record is from Ensembl. Lineage: Eukaryota; Metazoa; Chordata; Mammalia; Rodentia; Cricetidae.